GUAGUCUUGGCCCUAAACUAUGUUCACUAGGUGUCGGGGGGUUUCCCUCGGUGCCGCAGCUAACGCAUUAAGUGAACCGCCUGGGGACUACGGCCGCAAGGUUGAAACUCAAAGGAAUUGGCGGGGGCCCGCACAAGCGGUGGAGCAUAUGGCUUAAUUCGAUGCAACGCGAAGAACCUUACCAGGGCUUGACAUGCACCUGCAAUCCCCCGAAACGGGGCCGCCUUCGAGGGUGGUGCACAGGUGGUGCAUGGCUGUCGUCAGCUCGUGUUGUGAAAUGUUGGGUUAAGUCCCGCAACGAGCGCAACUCUCAUGUUUUGUUACCAGCGGAUAAUGCCGGGGACUCGAGACAAACUGCCUCUGUAAAGAGGA
RNAcentral lists this ribosomal RNA (372 nucleotides) under uncultured bacterium. Its description in RNAcentral is "bacterial SSU rRNA". It matches the Rfam family "Bacterial small subunit ribosomal RNA", at positions 790 to 1167 of the family's 1533-position model. The record is from RNAcentral.